This 22-nucleotide non-coding RNA is filed under the name Arabidopsis thaliana (thale cress). Lineage: Eukaryota; Viridiplantae; Streptophyta; Magnoliopsida; Brassicales; Brassicaceae. The record is from RNAcentral.
UUGAUCAUAUAACAAUUGUGUC